AGCGCACAUUGCGCCCCUUGGUAUUCCGAGGGGCAUGCCUGUUCGAGCGUCAUUACAACCCUCAAGCACUGCUUGGUCUUGGGCUCCGCUGCCAACCCGGCGGGCCUUAAAAUGAGUGGCGGCGCCAUCGGGCUCUGAGCGUAGUAAAUUUCCUCGCUACGGAGUCCUGGUGACGGUGGCCAUCAACCCCCAACUUUCUACGUUUGACUUCGGAUCAGGUAGGGAUACCCGCUGAACUUAA
This 241-nucleotide unclassified non-coding RNA is filed under the name uncultured fungus. RNAcentral's name for it is "partial contains 5.8S ribosomal RNA, internal transcribed spacer 2, and large subunit ribosomal RNA". Lineage: Eukaryota; Fungi. The record is from RNAcentral.